This 654-nucleotide ribosomal RNA is filed under the name uncultured archaeon. Its description in RNAcentral is "bacterial SSU rRNA". It matches the Rfam family "Archaeal small subunit ribosomal RNA", at positions 508 to 1160 of the family's 1478-position model. The record is from RNAcentral.
GCCUAAAGCGUCCGUAGCCGGCUAUGUUAGUUUUCGGUUAAAUCCAUGUGCUCAACACAUGGGCUGCCGAAAAUACUGUAUAGCUAGGGAGUGGGAGAGGUAGACGGUACUCGGUAGGAAGGGGUAAAAUCCUUUGAUCUAUCGAUGACCACCAGUGGCGAAGGCGGUCUACCAGAACACGUCCGACGGUGAGGGAUGAAAGCUGGGGGAGCAAACCGGAUUAGAUACCCGGGUAGUCCCAGCUGUAAACUAUGCAAACUCAGUGAUGCAUUGGCUUGUGGCCAAUGCAGUGCCGCAGAGAAGUCGUUAAGUUUGCCGCCUGGGAAGUACGUACGCAAGUAUGAAACUUAAAGGAAUUGGCGGGGGAGCACCACAAGGGGUGAAGCCUGCGGUUCAAUUGGAGUCAACGCCAGAAAUCUUACCCGGAGAGACAGCAGAAUGAAGGUCAAGCUGAAGACUUUACCAGACAAGCUGAGAAGUGGUGCAUGGCCGUCGCCAGCUCGUGCCGUGAGAUGUCCUGUUAAGUCAGGUAACGAGCGAGAUCCCUGCCUCUAGUUGCCACCAUUACUCUCAGGAGUAGUGGGGCAAAUUAGCGGGACUGCCGCAGUUAAUGCGGAGGAAGGAGGGGGCCACGGCAGGUCAGUAUGCCCCGAA